This 326-nucleotide ribosomal RNA is filed under the name Vibrio parahaemolyticus. RNAcentral describes it as "bacterial SSU rRNA". It matches the Rfam family "Bacterial small subunit ribosomal RNA", at positions 1 to 313 of the family's 1533-position model. Lineage: Bacteria; Pseudomonadati; Pseudomonadota; Gammaproteobacteria; Vibrionales; Vibrionaceae. The record is from RNAcentral.
AAAUUGAAGAGUUUGAUCAUGGCUCAGAUUGAACGCUGGCGGCAGGCCUAACACAUGCAAGUCGAGCGGAAACGAGUUAUCAGAACCUUCGGGGAACGAUAGCGGCGUCGAGCGGCGGACGGGUGAGUAAUGCCUAGGAAAUUGCCCUGAUGUGGGGGAUAACCAUUGGAAACGAUGGCUAAUACCGCAUAAUGCCUACGGGCCAAAGAGGGGGACCUUCGGGCCUCUCGCGUCAGGAUAUGCCUAGGUGGGAUUAGCUAGUUGGUGAGGUAAGGGCUCACCAAGGCGACGAUCCCUAGCUGGUCUGAGAGGAUGAUCAGCCACAC